Molecule: long non-coding RNA, 2278 nt
Organism: Oryzias melastigma (Indian medaka)
Lineage: Eukaryota; Metazoa; Chordata; Actinopteri; Beloniformes; Adrianichthyidae
Exons: 5
Source: RefSeq, a predicted model, not a curated record
UUUGUUGUCAAUAUGAUGGCACUUCAUAAAGAUCACCUUUGUACAAUUUGAUUGGAUGGAACUUGUUGAAGGGCGGGGUCUGUGUGCAUCUUUACUUAUCAGCCCUCAUUCUUCGGUAGGCCCGGCUAAGCUAAUCAGCUAAAGCUAACGGACAUUCCUGAUUGUUUUUCCUGGAUGUUGGAGCUUCAGAAAUGGCUUUUUUUUUUUUUUUUUUUUUUUUUAAAGUUAAACCCCGGUAAAACCUGGCGUGACUUCACGACCAGCUGAACUAAUUAAACAUCAGUUUUAAAGCUGCCACUCCCUCUUGUGCCAAAAGAGACCAGAACCCACCAAGUGGAGGAGUCUUGACAUCCAGCUUUUUCAGCUAAAAGUCCCAGCAGGCCUCUUCUUAAAGUGCUGAGGGGAAGAAAAACAAGUUUAAAGCUUCGGCAGCGAUAAAGAUUCAUCUCAGGUCAAGAGUUUGACGCUCACCCAGAGUCCACUGUGAGGGAAGCGCCUCAAGCUGUGUGUGGGAUGAGUCCCCACGGGUCCCCCUCUGCUCCCAAACACCGCUGAUUAUUGGACUCGCCUUGUCAGUCACAUCAGGGGAAUCUGCAGUACUCAUAUUGACCAGAGAUGUCGCCGUCCUCACCUAAAUGAUACACGCUCUUUGACAUUUUGUUAAUCUUUGACUGUAAGUGAUUCUGAUGUGGACAAAAGCAGCACUUUAGGAUAGUAAUAUUAAGUCCUGUUUGUUCUCUGCAUUUGACCCAUCCCCUGGGGAGUGGUGAGGUGAUGACACAGCUGCGCGCAGGAACCAAUUGGUGGUUUUAACCCCCAAUCCAACCCUUUGAUGCUGAGUGUCAUGCUCCAAUGUUUUAGAGUCUUUGGUAUGUCCUGGAUUUGAACUCAAGACCUUCCAGUGCCAGGGCAGACACUCUACCAGAGGGCCACUGAGCUGGUGUGGACUGCCUACGCAAUCCACGAAAAUCAGGGGUGUCAAACACAAUUGCAACACUUAACAUUCAUAAUGUGUGGAUUUUAUUUGUUUAUUUCGAUCCCCAUUAGCUUCGUCGCUAGUCUUCCUGGGGUCCAUAAGCAUGAAAUGCCCAAAUUUUACAAGUUUCACAUAAACUUUAAAAGGAUUUCACAAUUUUUUUUCUUGUUGUGAAAUCUGUAUCAAUAAAAGUACUGUUUGAUACAGACUGUUAGAAAAGCAGUCAGAAAAUCUGAAGAAGCCAGAAUGAAGACGCGUAGAGAGUGCUAAUGAGUGUUCUGGGUCCAGGCAAGGGUCAGGGCAGGCGGCAACCAACCAGAGUGUAACGAGCUGCAUGAAAUACUCUCUACAGAAAUCAGGGUUUAACUAAUUUCCCUUUUUAAUCAAUAGAAACUAGUCAAACAUUUGAACACCUAUUCUUGAAAUUCCACAAAAUGAGAAAAAGUCUUCUUAUUCUUUUCAGUCUCUUUAGGCUUUUUAGUCGCUUUUCCCAGUAUCCAGACAAAAAUGUCCAUGUCCACAAAAAUAUAGAUCCACCAGGAAACACUAGUCCAAAAAAAAAAAAAAAAAAAAAUGGAAUGAUGUCACCAAAGUGGAUGUUGUUUCCCCCUUAAUCCAGCCUUCGUGGGGAGGUUAUCCUUUUUUAUUUCUUUCUGGUGUCCCUCACAGCGUUCCCCAACCUUUUUCUUAUUCCUUCAUCUGACGCCUCAAACUUUCCCUCUUUUAUUUCCUUGGUGAUGACUCCGCCCACUUCCUCCAGAAUUCACAAAAACCUAACACAAACUUCUACACAAUAUUUAUACAGAAAAAAACACUUUCUAUUUGUGUUAGAGCCAUUUUAUUUUUCAAGCUGUUUUUCAAACUAUUCAUAUCAGUAUUCUAAUUAUUCUUUAUUUAUUUUUUCCUUUGAAUACCUUUGUGGCAGUGCUACGUGAGUUGAAGACGAAGAUGAACCAGAAGAUCAGGUCAGGAGGAGAAUGCUCAGUCAUGCAGGCUGAGUGACACAAACAAGACUUCGCACUGUGCUCUGACUAAACAUAGAGUGAUUGCAGGUGGAAAAACGGCUGUGGGGCUUCUGAGAGUGACAGCAGGGGCUGAUGGGAACUGUAGUUUGGAGACCCAGGAAGUUUUAGAACUCAGCUGAUGGAUGUCGCUGAUGACCAGAGGGGGAAACAGGGGACCGAUUCGUGGCAAAUAGGCUGAGAGCUCACGCAUUUCACGUAAAUCAUCUAAGUGCUUACAUAAUCCAUGUAAAUCAGCCGAUUCAGUCUUGGGCAAUUAUACUCUUUACAAACAUAAAGU